RNAcentral lists this non-coding RNA (23 nucleotides) under Cricetulus griseus (Chinese hamster). The record is from RNAcentral. Lineage: Eukaryota; Metazoa; Chordata; Mammalia; Rodentia; Cricetidae.
UUCAGGAGGGAUUUGUGUGUUGU